Molecule: long non-coding RNA, 338 nt
Organism: Mytilus californianus (California mussel)
Lineage: Eukaryota; Metazoa; Mollusca; Bivalvia; Mytilida; Mytilidae
Exons: 2
Source: RefSeq, a predicted model, not a curated record
CUUCAAAGAGACAGGUAGCCAAACUGCAAACACGACUUCUUUGAUAGCUGUUCACAUGAGAUACCGGUACCAUUUCAUCAGAACUAUAAAUAUUAUACAGAUUGCAUUUUUGCAGUGAAAUUUGAUAUUUGUUAAUGGAAAACACCGUUUCUCAGUGAAUUCUCAACGGUUGUGCAAUGGUUAUAUAUAGUGUAGAAAAUUCAAUGUUUCAGCGAUGAGGUGCGGUACUAAUUUGUCAAAAUUGCCUAUCAAUUAGUCGAACUCAUCCAAUAAGUACAGUUUGACACACCAUUACUUGCAUUGUAUUGGAAUUCAUAACAAGUAAAAACCGCAGAUAA